RNAcentral lists this ribosomal RNA (401 nucleotides) under uncultured bacterium. RNAcentral describes it as "bacterial SSU rRNA". It matches the Rfam family "Bacterial small subunit ribosomal RNA", at positions 28 to 429 of the family's 1533-position model. The record is from RNAcentral.
GACGAACGCUGGCGGCGUGCUUAACACAUGCAAGUCGAGCGGUAAGGCCCUUUCGGGGGUACGACGAGCGGCGAACGGGUGAGUAACACGUGGGUGGACCUGCCCUCCAGCUCUGGGAUAAGCCUGGGAAACUGGGUCUAAUACCGGAUAUGACUCCAUGACGCAUGUUGUGGGGUGGAAAGCCUUGUGCGGCUGAGGAUGGGCCCGCGGCCUAUCAGCUUGUUGGUGGGGUGAUGGCCUACCAAGGCGACGACGGGUAGCCGGCCUGAGAGGGCGACCGGCCACACUGGGACUGAGACACGGCCCAGACUCCUACGGGAGGCAGCAGUGGGGAAUCUUGCGCAAUGGGCGAAAGCCCUGACGCAGCGACGCCGCGUGAGGGAUGACGGCCUGGUUGUAAC